AGAGUUUGAUCAUGGCUCAGAACGAACGCUGGCGGCAGGCUUAACACAUGCAAGUCGAACGCAUCCUUCGGGGUGAGUGGCAGACGGGUGAGUAACGCGUGGGAACGUGCCCUUCAGUUCGGAAUAACCCAGGGAAACUUGGGCUAAUACCGGAUACGUGCGAGAGCAGAAAGAUUUAUCGCUGAAGGAUCGGCCCGCGUCUGAUUAGCUAGUUGGUGGGGUAAUGGCCCACCAAGGCGACGAUCAGUAGCUGGUCUGAGAGGAUGAUCAGCCACAUUGGGACUGAGACACGGCCCAAACUCCUACGGGAGGCAGCAGUGGGGAAUAUUGGACAAUGGGCGCAAGCCUGAUCCAGCCAUGCCGCGUGAGUGAUGAAGGCCUUAGGGUUGUAAAGCUCUUUCAGCGGGGACGAUAAUGACGGUACCCGCAGAAGAAGCCCCGGCUAACUUCGUGCCAGCAGCCGCGGUAAUACGAAGGGGGCUAGCGUUGUUCGGAAUCACUGGGCGUAAAGGGCGCGUAGGCGGCUUUGUAAGUCGGGGGUGAAAGCCUGUGGCUCAACCACAGAAUUGCCUUCGAUACUGCAUGGCUUGAGACCGGAAGAGGUAAGUGGAACUGCGAGUGUAGAGGUGAAAUUCGUAGAUAUUCGCAAGAACACCAGUGGCGAAGGCGGCUUACUGGUCCGGUUCUGACGCUGAGGCGCGAAAGCGUGGGGAGCAAACAGGAUUAGAUACCCUAGUAGUCC
This 742-nucleotide ribosomal RNA is filed under the name uncultured bacterium. RNAcentral describes it as "bacterial SSU rRNA". It matches the Rfam family "Bacterial small subunit ribosomal RNA", at positions 8 to 796 of the family's 1533-position model. The record is from RNAcentral.